RNAcentral lists this ribosomal RNA (423 nucleotides) under uncultured bacterium. RNAcentral's name for it is "bacterial SSU rRNA". It matches the Rfam family "Bacterial small subunit ribosomal RNA", at positions 355 to 776 of the family's 1533-position model. The record is from RNAcentral.
UGGGGAAUUUUCCGCAAUGGGCGCAAGCCUGACCCAGCCAUGCCGCGUGCAGGAUGACGACCCUAUGGGUUGUAAACUGCUUUUAUAUAGGAAGAAAAUACUCUUGCGAGAGGAUCUGACGGUACUAUAUGAAUAAGGACCGGCUAACUCCGUGCCAGCAGCCGCGGUAAUACGGAGGGUUCAAGCGUUUUCCGGAUUUAUUGGGUUUAAAGAGUGCGUAGGUGGUUUAUUAAGUCAGUGGUGAAAUCCUGCAGCUCAACUGUAGAACUGCCAUUGAUACUGGUAAACUUGAGUUUGGUUUAGGUAAGCGGAAUUUAUGAUGUAGCGGUGAAAUGCAUAGAUAUCAUAAGGAACACCAAUAGCGAAGGCAGCUUACUGGACCACAACUGACACUGAGGCACGAAAGCGUGGGUAGCGAACAGG